This 253-nucleotide ribosomal RNA is filed under the name uncultured bacterium. RNAcentral's name for it is "partial 16S ribosomal RNA". It matches the Rfam family "Bacterial small subunit ribosomal RNA", at positions 524 to 776 of the family's 1533-position model. The record is from RNAcentral.
UACAGAGGUCCCGAGCGUUGUUCGGAUUCACUGGGCGUAAAGCGUGCGCAGGCGGUGAUGUAAGACCGGUGUGAAAUCCCCGGGCUUAACCUGGGAACUGCAUUUGUGACUGCAUUGCUGGAGUGCGGCAGAGGGGGAUGGAGUUCCGCGUGUAGCAGUGAAAUGCGUAGAUAUGCGGAGGAACACCGAUGGCGAAGGCAAUCCCCUGGGCCUGCACUGACGCUCAUGCACGAAAGCGUGGGGAGCAAACAGG